RNAcentral lists this long non-coding RNA (861 nucleotides) under Sorghum bicolor (sorghum). RNAcentral's name for it is "long non-coding RNA (SBIC_LNC009051)". Lineage: Eukaryota; Viridiplantae; Streptophyta; Magnoliopsida; Poales; Poaceae. The record is from RNAcentral.
CAAAGGACACAGCCACAUGGGAGGACUACUACGUCGUCAAGAAUAGGUUCCCUGAUGCACCUACUUGGGGACAAGCAGCUUCUCUGGCCGGGGCAGAUGUCACGGCACACACAUGAGGAAGGGGACUAAGGCGCGUCUAGGAAGAGAAAGCGUAUUCUUAACAUUUAUGUAAUAGCUAGCUUAUGACAUGUGGGCCCUACGGGCAAGGCUCUGUAAGUCAUAUAACCUGAACUCUGGUUGUAAGAACGCAUCGCAUAUUUUAUUAUCGAAUACAAUACACCGGCGACAGAGAGGUUCCUCUGCACGGUGACCGUGCCCACGAUUUCCUCUCACGUCGACGGUGAACACCGGUGGCCACGGGUCUUAAUUUACUACCAAGUACAUAUUCGAGUGAUCAAAAGGUUCAAAUCACACCUAUUCAUUAUUCAGAUAACCUUUGACUGCAAAUCACUUAAUUUACUACCAACUACAUAUAUGUGUGACAUCUGUUGUUAAAUCACUCGGGUAUUCAAUAGUGUAUCCAAAUGGAUCUAUCUAUCUAUAUGAAAAAAGAAAGAAAAAAAUGGCAGACGCAGAUCCCUAUGAUUUACGGAAGGGAGGAGGACAGGGAGUCGUUCGUUCCGAUUUCCGGGCUAAUGCGCGUGAGAUUGGAACUGGAUUGGAUAGCAUUACACUUACACGGCUGUACCGGCGGGUGAAAUGGGGAUGUCAGUGUACUGAACAUUGGUGUCGCGGUGGUCAGGAACGUAUGCUUGGACGCCGGCGUGGGUAAGCAUGGCCCAGAUAUGCGUGAUGAACUCGCCGCCGUUUGCCAGCGCCAGCGCGUGCGCGUCCGGUCCCCCGGACGGCGAGCGGGCCACG